Rhineura floridana is the source of this 1298-nucleotide long non-coding RNA. RefSeq lists it as uncharacterized. NCBI's taxonomy places the organism in Eukaryota, Metazoa, Chordata, Lepidosauria, Squamata, Rhineuridae. The record is from RefSeq and is a predicted model, not a curated record. The transcript is spliced from 2 exons.
CAACAAAGGAAAAGGUAUCUUUGAUAUAUGCAGGAAAUGUGAUGCUCAGCAAUGAUCCAGAGGCCAAUCCCUUCCUGAGAGACUAUAUAAAAGGAGACGGUGCAUAACACAGAUCCCACAGAUGCAAGCACCCUCCUCCUGCCUUCUACCACUUGGUCUUGACCCAGCUCCAUCACUCCAAGAUGUCCUGCUGCUACUACCCAUGCUGCCCACAGCCCUGCCCACAGCCCUGCCCUGUCCCAGUCUGCCCUAUCCCAGUCUGCCCCCCACCCCCACCCCCAACUUGUAUCCGCUACCCAGUCGGGGCUCUGGGCUCACUGGGCUGUGACAGCUCAUCAGGUGGAAGCUCAUCAGGGGGCAGAUCAUCAGGGGGCAGAUCAUCAGGAGGUGGCUCUGGCAGCAAUGGAGGCAAUGGUGGCGCUGGUGGCAUGGUACCAUCUGCUAGCCUCGGCAUAGUCCCUGGGGCCAGCUGUGGUUGCAUCACUCAGCUCCCACCAUCUGAAGUGAUCAUCCAGCCAGCUCCUGCUUGUGUGGUCAUCCCAGGACCAAUGCUCGUCGCCAGCAGUGAACCGACCCGUGUGGGAGGAUAUUCCGCCUGUCUGUCAGUGGGAGGCAACGGAGGAAACAACGGGGGAGGCAAUGGAGGAAACGGGGGAGGCAACGGAGGAAACAACGGGGGAAACAAUGGUGGAAACAAUGGGGGUAACAAUGGGAGAGGCAAUGGGAGAAACAAUGGAGGAGGCAAUGGGGGAGGCAAUGGGGGAAACUAUUCUGGGGUGUGCUACUAUCCCGGCAAGGUCACCUGUUAUCCCUGUUAAGCUCCAAGUCAAUGGUCACAGGAACUGGGGAUUCACUUUUGAAAAAAGGAUACCUGGAAAACCACAAUACGGAUUCACGGCUGAUGUCAUUGUCCCGGGCCUUGGUGUCAUGAACGCUGAGCUUCCUCACUCCACAUCUCCAUCAAUGGGAUAUGCGGCUGCUCAGCAUUCCUGAUGCUUGUGUCCAUCUACGCUUUAUGCUAAAUUGUCGAUCUGCUGCUUUGACUUCUUGCACUUUUUCUUUUCCACUUGGGCUUCAUUUCAGGUCAUCAGAAUGGGUUAGAAACCUGUAAACAAAUGAAAUAAUAUAUUUUUCUUGUAUGUGCGUUUCUGUCUCUUUCUGACUAUUCUGAAGGACACCCAAGCUUUUGAGGCUGCAGCUGUCCUCCUAAACCCAGGACUACCCUUGAAUACAUUUGCUAUUUUCAUGUGCUCUCUGUUUCAUUCAUUAAAGCAUAUCUGCAUGCAUUGAAAAAAAAA